This 391-nucleotide unclassified non-coding RNA is filed under the name soil metagenome. Its description in RNAcentral is "partial contains 5.8S ribosomal RNA, internal transcribed spacer 2, and large subunit ribosomal RNA". The stretch from base 1 to 122 matches the Rfam family "5.8S ribosomal RNA", at positions 35 to 154 of the family's 154-position model. The record is from RNAcentral.
GAUGAAGAACGUAGCGAAAUGCGAUACUUGGUGUGAAUUGCAGAAUCCCGUGAACCAUCGAGUCUUUGAACGCAAGUUGCGCCCGAAGCCACUAGGCCGAGGGCACGCCUGCCUGGGCGUCACACGCCGUUGCCCCCCCAUCUACUCCUUCGGGAUUGCGGGGGGGCGGAUGAUGGCCUCCCGUGCGCCUUGCCGCGCGGUUGGCAUAAAUACCAAGUCCUCGGCGACGCACGCCACGACAAUCGGUGGUUGCGAAACCUCGGUUGCCCGUCGUGUGCGUUCGUCGCGCAUCGAGGGCUCGAAAAAAUGCUCGGCUCCGGCUGGGCUUUCAACGCGACCCCAGGUCAGGCGGGGUUACCCGCUGAAUUUAAGCAUAUCAAUAAGCGGAGGA